ACUGGAACUUGGUUUGACUUUUCCUGUGUUUUGAAAUUAGCUCUUCUCAUGAGGAUCCCCUUCAAAGCAAGAAUUAAGACAGGAACGUCUACACAAUUACAGAUGUUGUGAGCAUCAAGAAUGCCAUCAGGGGAGAUUCCAGGAGGUGAAUCAUCACGUCAGUCAGAAAGAAACCAUAAUCCCUGGGAUGAAAGACUCUUGGUCGAGAGUCAGUUUUUUGGCAAAACUUCAUUAUGGUUCUUGAAAACUGGAAAACUAAAAACAACUUGUGUAAAUGUGUUGCAUAUUUGACUAUUUUGACCUGCCUAGAGCUUUCUGAAUGAACCUAUGCCAGAAUACAACGAUAUUGACCUAUUAAAAACACAAACUUUUAUGCUGCAUGCUGCUGAAUUUCAAUGCAUUUAAAAGUGGAUGCUUCUCACUCUACUUUCGUUGUGUUAAAAGUGAUGGCUAACUUUUUUCUUUUUUUUGAGGAAGAUCAGCCCUGAGCUAACUACUGCCAAUCUUCCUCUUUUUUUGCUGAGGAAGACUGGCCCUGAGCUAACAUCCAUGGCCAUCUUCCUCUAUUUUAUACGUGGGACACCUACCACAGCAUGGCUUUUGCCAAGUGGUCCCACGUCCGCGCCUGGGAUCCGAACCAGCAAAUCCCAGGGCACCGAGAAGCGGAACGUGCGAACUUAACUGCUGCACCACCAGGCCAGCCCCCAUGGCUAACUUUUUUAAGAUCAAAACUAAAGCUCAAAGAUUUCUAGUAGCAAAGGACCCUGGAUCCCUUUUUCCAGAAUCAUCCUUAAUCCCAGGGGAGAAAAGAAGGGCCCCUGACCUGGGCAGUCACAUCAGAGGGACUUCUCUAGCCCUCCACCAGCCAUGCCCUUCACAGAAGACAAACAAAGGUACGCACACAGAGGCCAACCAACCCCUCUCCAGAUCACACCCAGAGAAGCCAUCCACUGGGGACCGGGAGCGCACACCCCUGCAGUGAUGUGAUGUGACAGCAAGGAUGGCUUUCACCACAAGAGCAGCGGAGAAAAUUGGACAAGAGGAACCCUGGGAGGCCGGGGUUAUCUAAACACAGCAAGUCACCCGAUAUGUCAAAGAGGCAAAAAGGAAGACCUUCUCUGUGAUUUCUGUGACAGGGGAACUUAUUGUUCAACCCAACUGAGAAAACAGAUGUGGUCACGUUUCUCUGCAUAAAGGAACUUACAUAGAGGAUAUGAGGCUAGUAAGAGGUGCCAGACGUGAGAAUAAACAUUGAAACACCUAUCUUGCGGAGGGGACAGUGAUCCCUUGGCGGUCCCUUGGCUGUCCGCUGAAACUUUUUGUUAUACGAAUUUGAGAGGUUACAAAAAGGACGUGAGAUGCAUGGAAUUCAUUAACAACUAUCUGUGAAAGAAUAUCCUAAUUAGCAUAACUCCAUGCUACAAGCCUGAAUCAGCAUGCCAGAGGAGAGGGCCUGAACAGAGGGGGGUAAACCUUAUGAACUGAAAGAAAAUAAGGCAGUCUAGAGGAGCGAAAACAAAUAGGUGGAUGGUUCUCCCACGAGAUUUAAAAUUCAACAGGACUGUGGCACGUUCCCUCUUAAUGACUGUGAAAUUGAUUGGGAUAUAGGCUAAUAGAGGUCCCAGGAGUGCUAAACUAAAUUAGAGGAAGUCCUAUAAUUACAGCUAGCAGUUAAUUAUUCUAUGAUGGGAAUGGUAAUCAACGGAACAGACACACUGUGAUUUUCCAUCUUCCCUGCAAAACAUCCCUCACCAAGUCUCUUAAGAGUAGUAGAGCGGCCAGUUUUGUGGUUCAACUUACUGUGGCUUCCUAGUGCACCCAAAUAAAAUCCAAACCAGGGCCUCCUGCAGGUGAUUUGGCCUGCGGCCUCAUUCCUGGCUCUUGCCUGCCUUUCCCACAUGAGCCUCUUGUGGUUCUUCAACACAUGCCUCGUUCUCUCUGCCUGGAAUGCUCUCUCCCCAGAUUUCCACCAGGCUCGCUCCCUGCCUCUGUGCAGACAUCAAGAUGGCGGCUCCUUAGAGAAGCAUUCGCGGUCCAUUCUAUCUAAUAGAGAUACACCGCAUCCCUCGACGCCACUUUACUCUUCUUCAUGCCAUUAUUGUCCCCUGACACUUGUUCUUGAUAAUCUGCCUCCCCUGAAACUCCAUGGGAGCAGUGACUUGGUCCGUCUUAUUCCCAUUGUACCUUUUAGCUCCCAGAAUACAGCCUGGCUCUGAGUUGGUCC
RNAcentral lists this long non-coding RNA (2224 nucleotides) under Equus caballus (horse). RNAcentral describes it as "lncRNA (ENSECAG00000054230.1)". The record is from RNAcentral. Lineage: Eukaryota; Metazoa; Chordata; Mammalia; Perissodactyla; Equidae.